UACGUAGGGUCCGAGCGUUGUCCGGAAUUAUUGGGCGUAAAGGGCUCGUAGGCGGUUCGUCGCGUCGGGAGUGAAAACUCGGAGCUCAACUCCGAGCCUGCUUCCGAUACGGGCAGACUAGAGGUAUGCAGGGGAGAACGGAAUUCCUGGUGUAGCGGUGAAAUGCGCAGAUAUCAGGAGGAACACCGGUGGCGAAGGCGGCUCACUGGACCGUUGUUGACGCUGAGGUGCGAAAGCGUGGGGAGCAAACAGG
Molecule: ribosomal RNA, 253 nt
Filed under: uncultured bacterium
Lineage: Bacteria
Description: partial 16S ribosomal RNA
Rfam family: Bacterial small subunit ribosomal RNA
Source: RNAcentral